AUUGAACGCUAGCGGGAUGCCUUAUACAUGCAAGUCGAACGGCGUGGCGAACGGGUGGGUACUGUAUCGGAACGUGCCCAGUAGCGGGGGAUAACUACGCGAAAGAGUAGCUAAUACCGCAUACUAUUGGGGCGGCCGAGGUCGGCUUAGCUAGUUGGUGGGGUAACGGCUCACCAAGGCGACGAUGCCUAGCUGGUCUGAGAGGACGACCAGCCACACUGGGACUGAGACACGGCCCAGACUCCUACGGGAGGCAGCAGUGGGGAAUGUUCGGCAAUGGGGGAAACCCUGAUCGAGCCAUCCCGCGUGUGCGAUGAAGGUCUUCGGGUUGUAAAGCACUUUUGGCAGGAAAGCGGUACCUGCAGAGUAAGCACCGGCUAACUACGUGCCAGCAGCCGCGGUAAUUC
This 407-nucleotide ribosomal RNA is filed under the name uncultured bacterium. RNAcentral describes it as "partial 16S ribosomal RNA". It matches the Rfam family "Bacterial small subunit ribosomal RNA", at positions 30 to 526 of the family's 1533-position model. The record is from RNAcentral.